GGGCCCGCACAAGCGGUGGAGCAUGUGGUUUAAUUCGAUGAUACGCGAGGAACCUUACCUAGGCUUAAAUGUAUAUUGACAGAUUGGGAAACCAGUCCUUCUUCGGACAAUUUACAAGGUGCUGCAUGGUUGUCGUCAGCUCGUGCUGUGAGGUGUCGGGUUAAGUCCCAUAACGAGCGCAACCCCUAUCCUUAGUUGCCAGCGAGUAAUGUCGGGGACUCUAGGGAAACUGCCGGUGCAAACCGUGAGGAAGGUGGGGAUGACGUCAAAUCAUCACGGCCCUUACGUCUAGGGCUACACACGUGCUACAAUGGCAUAUACAAAGGGCAGCUACUUGGUGACAAGAUGCUAAUCUCUAAAGUAUGUCUCAGUUCGGAUCGAAGUCUGCAACUCGACUUCGUGAAGCUGGAAUCGCUAGUAA
Molecule: ribosomal RNA, 421 nt
Filed under: uncultured bacterium
Lineage: Bacteria
Description: bacterial SSU rRNA
Rfam family: Bacterial small subunit ribosomal RNA
Source: RNAcentral